AUGGUUGGAGCUCUUGCUAAAAUUGAGGUUGCCACCAAGCUAUUGAAAGAUGAUGCUGAAAUGGAGGGAGAUCCCCUGGUGUUGGAACAUGAGGUAUUUUCUAUUGCACAUAUUAAGGUUUUGGGCAGUGGACACAAGUUUGCUUCUAUUGGGUUUGUGAACAUGUUUAACGUUGGUGGACUUGGUAAUUUGAAUGCAACAGUUAUGAUUGUUCAAUUUAAGCAAAAUGAUUCAGGAGUAAUUUUAGAACCUUGA
Molecule: non-coding RNA, 255 nt
Organism: Vicia faba (fava bean)
Lineage: Eukaryota; Viridiplantae; Streptophyta; Magnoliopsida; Fabales; Fabaceae
Source: the annotation of a GenBank genome assembly